GGGCAUUUAGUUUAGUGGUAUAAUAUUCGCUUCGCAGCCCUAACGGAAGCAGUGUAUGCGAAAGGUCGUGGGUUCAAUUCCCACAAUGUCCA
Molecule: non-coding RNA, 92 nt
Organism: Macrolepiota fuliginosa MF-IS2
Lineage: Eukaryota; Fungi; Basidiomycota; Agaricomycetes; Agaricales; Agaricaceae
Source: the annotation of a GenBank genome assembly